GGAGAGGUGGCCGAGAGGCUGAAGGCGGCGGUUUGCUAAACCGUUAUAGAGGGUAAACCUUUAUCAGGGGUUCGAAUCCCCUCCUCUCCG
This 90-nucleotide transfer RNA is filed under the name Deltaproteobacteria bacterium. Its description in RNAcentral is "tRNA-Ser". It matches the Rfam family "tRNA". From Rfam's summary of the family: Transfer RNA (tRNA) molecules are approximately 80 nucleotides in length. Their secondary structure includes four short double-helical elements and three loops (D, anti-codon, and T loops). Further hydrogen bonds mediate the characteristic L-shaped molecular structure. tRNAs have two regions of fundamental functional importance: the anti-codon, which is responsible for specific mRNA codon recognition, and the 3' end, to which the tRNAs corresponding amino acid is attached (by aminoacyl-tRNA synthetases). tRNAs cope with the degeneracy of the genetic code in two manners: having more than one tRNA (with a specific anti-codon) for a particular amino acid; and 'wobble' base-pairing, i.e. permitting non-standard base-pairing at the 3rd anti-codon position. Lineage: Bacteria; Pseudomonadati; Myxococcota; Myxococcia. The record is from RNAcentral.